RNAcentral lists this ribosomal RNA (403 nucleotides) under uncultured bacterium. RNAcentral's name for it is "partial 16S ribosomal RNA". It matches the Rfam family "Bacterial small subunit ribosomal RNA", at positions 28 to 526 of the family's 1533-position model. The record is from RNAcentral.
GACGAACGCUGGCGGCGUGCCUAAUACAUGCAAGUCGAACGCAGUGGGGCCGGGUGAGUAACACGUGGGUAACCUCCCAUCAGAGGUGAUAACACUUGGAAACAGGUGCUAAACCGAUACUGAUGGAUGAACCCGCGGUGCAUUAGCUAGUUGGUGAGGUAACAGCUCACCAAGACCACGCUGCAUAGCCGACCUGAGAGGGGGAUCGGCCACACUGGGACGGAGAACCGGCCCAUACUCCUACGGGAGGCAGCAGGAGGGAAUCUUCGGCAAUGGACGAAAGUCUGACCGAGCAACGACGCGUGAGGGAAGAAGGUUUUCGGAUCGUAAAACUCUGUUGUUAGAGAAGCGGUAUCUAACCAGAAAGCCACGGAUAACUACGUGCCAGCAGCCGCGGUAAUUC